GAUGAACGCUGGCGGCGUGCCUAAUACAUGCAAGUCGAGCGAACAGACGAGGAGCUUGCUCCUCUGACGUUAGCGGCGGACGGGUGAGUAACACGUGGAUAACCUACCUAUAAGACUGGGAUAACUUCGGGAAACCGGAGCUAAUACCGGAUAAUAUAUUGAACCGCAUGGUUCAAUAGUGAAAGACGGUUUUGCUGUCACUUAUAGAUGGAUCCGCGCCGCAUUAGCUAGUUGGUAAGGUAACGGCUUACCAAGGCAACGAUGCGUAGCCGACCUGAGAGGGUGAUCGGCCACACUGGAACUGGGACACGGUCCAGACUCCUACGGGAGGCAGCAGUAGGGUAUCUUCCGCAAUGGGCGAAAGCCUGACGGAGCAACGCCGCGUGAGUGAUGAAGGUCUUCGGAUCGUAAAACUCUGUUAUUAGGGAAGAACAAAUGUGUAAGUAACUAUGCACGUCUUGACGGUACCUAAUCAGAAAGCCACGGCUAACUACGUG
RNAcentral lists this ribosomal RNA (497 nucleotides) under uncultured bacterium. Its description in RNAcentral is "partial 16S ribosomal RNA". It matches the Rfam family "Bacterial small subunit ribosomal RNA", at positions 28 to 507 of the family's 1533-position model. The record is from RNAcentral.